RNAcentral lists this ribosomal RNA (512 nucleotides) under Chlorogomphus brunneus. Its description in RNAcentral is "partial 16S rRNA". It matches the Rfam family "Bacterial large subunit ribosomal RNA", at positions 1831 to 2597 of the family's 2925-position model. Lineage: Eukaryota; Metazoa; Arthropoda; Insecta; Odonata; Chlorogomphidae. The record is from RNAcentral.
GUCUUCUUGAAUGUAUAGGAAGUCUGACCUGCCCGGUGAAUAAGUAUUUAACGGCCGCGGUAUUUUGACCGUGCAAAGGUAGCAUAAUCAUUAGUCUUUUAAUAGAGGGCUGGAAUGAAGGGUUUGACGAAAUGCUUACUGUCUCAUUUAAUUUGAAAUUUGAAUUUGACUUUUUAGUUAAAAGGCUAAAUUGUUGUUGGAAGACGAGAAGACCCUAUAGAGCUUUAUAUUUUAAAAUUUAAAAGAUUUUUGUUUAAUUAUUAUUUUUUAAAUGGAAAAAUAUUUUGUUGGGGUGACAAAAAUAUAGAAUAAACUUUUUUAUUUAUUUAACAUUGAUAUAUGAAUAUUAGAUCCAUUAUUAUUGAUUGUUAGAGAAAGUUACCUUAGGGAUAACAGCGUAAUCUUCCUCCAGAGUUCAAAUUUACAGGAAGGCUUGCGACCUCGAUGUUGGAUUAAGAUAAUAAUUAGGUGCAGCCGCUUAAUUAAUAGGUCUGUUCGACCUUUAAAUUCUU